Molecule: ribosomal RNA, 468 nt
Filed under: uncultured bacterium
Lineage: Bacteria
Description: partial 16S ribosomal RNA
Rfam family: Bacterial small subunit ribosomal RNA
Source: RNAcentral
GACGAACGCUGGCGGCGUGCUUAACACAUGCAAGUCGAACGGAAAGGCCCUGCUUUUGUGGGGUGCUCGAGUGGCGCACGGGUGAGUGAAACGUGUGUAACCUGCCCUUAACUUUGGGAUAAAAUCAGGAGACUCGGGCUAAUACCGGAUAGGAGCUCCUGCAGCGUGGUGUGGGAUGGAAAGAUUCGGCGGUUGGGGCUGGUAUCGCGGGUUAUCAGCUUGUUGGGGUGGUAGUGGCUUUCCAAGGCUUUGACGGGUAGCCGGCAUUGGAGGGUUACCGGCCACAUGGGGACUGCGAUACGGCCCAGACUCCUACGGGAGGCAGCAGUGGGAAAUAUUGCACAAUGGGCGGUAGUCUGAUGCAGCAACGCCGCGUUCGUGAUGACGGCUUUCGGGUUGUAAACCGCUGUGGCCUGUGCCGAAGCGUGAGUGACGGUAAUGGGUCAAGAAGCACCGGCUAACUACGUG